ACGCUGGCGGCAGGCCUAACACAUGCAAGUCGAGCGGUAACAUUUCUAGCUUGCUAGAAGAUGACGAGCGGCGGACGGGUGAGUAAUGCUUGGGAAUAUGCCUUAGGGUGGGGGACAACAGUUGGAAACGACUGCUAAUACCGCAUGAUGUCUACGGACCAAAGGGGGCUUCGGCUCUCGCCCUUAGAUUAGCCCAAGUGGGAUUAGCUAGUUGGUGAGGUAAAGGCUCACCAAGGCGACGAUCCCUAGCUGGUUUGAGAGGAUGAUCAGCCACACUGGAACUGAGACACGGUCCAGACUCCUACGGGAGGCAGCAGUGGGGAAUAUUGCACAAUGGGGGAAACCCUGAUGCAGCCAUGCCGCGUGUGUGAAGAAGGCCUUCGGGUUGUAAAGCACUUUCAGUAAGGAGGAAAGGUUAGUAGUUAAUACCUGCUAGCUGUGACGUUACUUACAGAAGAAGCACCGGCUAA
This 470-nucleotide ribosomal RNA is filed under the name Pseudoalteromonas sp. D15. RNAcentral describes it as "bacterial SSU rRNA". It matches the Rfam family "Bacterial small subunit ribosomal RNA", at positions 33 to 500 of the family's 1533-position model. Lineage: Bacteria; Pseudomonadati; Pseudomonadota; Gammaproteobacteria; Alteromonadales; Pseudoalteromonadaceae. The record is from RNAcentral.